Dicentrarchus labrax (European seabass) is the source of this 209-nucleotide long non-coding RNA. RefSeq lists it as uncharacterized. The record is from RefSeq and is a predicted model, not a curated record. The transcript has 3 exons. NCBI's taxonomy places the organism in Eukaryota, Metazoa, Chordata, Actinopteri, Moronidae.
UGCAGUCUGAUUAAACGGCCGACACAUCAUGCAGGGCUGCAGGAGGCUUCACCAGACAGACCGACUCACACUUCAGUCUCCACUCUGGCCCCUCAGUGUUUUGGUUUUACAUCUUCUCCUAACACACUCUUGUAAAGGUCAGUCUCGGUUAAUUGGUCCACUUCAGUCAAUACUGGCAGGAGUUGGGGAUGACAUAAUUUUGCCAUGUC